GAUGAACGCUGGCGGCGUGCCUAAUACAUGCAAGUCGAGCGAACGGACGAGAAGCUUGCUUCUCUGAUGUUAGCGGCGGACGGGUGAGUAACACGUGGAUAACCUACCUAUAAGACUGGGAUAACUUCGGGAAACCGGAGCUAAUACCGGAUAAUAUUUUGAACCGCAUGGUUCAAAAGUGAAAGACGGCCUUGCUGUCACUUAUAGAUGGAUCCGCGCUGCAUUAGCUAGUUGGUAAGGUAACGGCUUACCAAGGCAACGAUGCAUAGCCGACCUGAGAGGGUGAUCAGCCACACUGGAACUGAGACACGAUCCAGACUCCUACGGGAGGCAGCAGUAGGGAAUCUUCCGCAAUGGGCGAAAGCCUGACGGAGCCACGCCGCGUGAGUGAUGAAGGUCUUCGGAUCGUAAAACUCUGUUAUUAGGGAAGAACAUAUGUGUAAGUAACUGUGCACAUCUUGACGGUACCUAAUCAGAAAGCCACGGCUAACUACGUG
Molecule: ribosomal RNA, 497 nt
Filed under: uncultured bacterium
Lineage: Bacteria
Description: partial 16S ribosomal RNA
Rfam family: Bacterial small subunit ribosomal RNA
Source: RNAcentral